CGCUGAGCACCGAAAGCGUGGGGAGCAAACAGAUUAGAUACCCUGGUAGUCCCGCCGUAAACGAUGAGUAUUAAGUGUCGGGUUAACCCCGGUACUGAAGUUAACACAUUAAGUACUCCGCCUGAGUAGUACGUACGCAAGUAUGAAAACUUAAAGGAAUUAACGGGACUCCGCACAAGCGGUGGAUCAUGUUGUUUAAUUCGAAGAUACCCGAAAAACUUACCAGGUCUUGACAUGUUUUUGCAAAAUGAUAGUAUAUCGUGGAGGUUACCAGAAACACAGGUGGUGCAUGGUUGUCGUCAGCUCGUGUCGUGAGAUGUUAAGGCUAAGUCCUAAAACGAAGCGAAACCCUUAUCGUUAGUUGCCAGGCACGUUAUGGUGGGGACUUUAACGAGACUGCCAAUGAUAAAUUGGAGGAAGGUGAGGAUCACGUCAAAUCAGCAUGCCCCUUAUGACCUGGGGCUACAAACAUGAUACAAUGGCUGUUAAAAAGGGUAGCUGAAACGCAAGUUCUUGGCCAAUCCCCAAAAACAGUCCCAGUCCGGAUUGAAGUCUGCAACUCGACUUCAUGAAGUUGGAAUCGCUAGUAAUCGCGAAUCAACAUGUCGCGGUGAAUACGUUCUCGGGGUUUGUACACACCGCCGUCAAACCACGAAAGUUGGCAAUACCCCAAAACGGUAGCCGGAGCCGUUUAAGGUAGAGGGGGUGAUGAUGGUUAGGGUUAAGGAAU
This 730-nucleotide ribosomal RNA is filed under the name Sugarcane phytoplasma type C. RNAcentral describes it as "bacterial SSU rRNA". It matches the Rfam family "Bacterial small subunit ribosomal RNA", at positions 744 to 1499 of the family's 1533-position model. The record is from RNAcentral. Lineage: Bacteria; Bacillati; Mycoplasmatota; Mollicutes; Acholeplasmatales; Acholeplasmataceae.